RNAcentral lists this ribosomal RNA (690 nucleotides) under Escherichia coli. RNAcentral's name for it is "partial 23S ribosomal RNA". It matches the Rfam family "Bacterial large subunit ribosomal RNA", at positions 2232 to 2916 of the family's 2925-position model. Lineage: Bacteria; Pseudomonadati; Pseudomonadota; Gammaproteobacteria; Enterobacterales; Enterobacteriaceae. The record is from RNAcentral.
CCCGUUAUCCGGGUUGCGGACAGUGUCUGGUGGGUAGUUUGACUGGGGCGGUCUCCUCCUAAAGAGUAACGGAGGAGCACGAAGGUUGGCUAAUCCUGGUCGGACAUCAGGAGGUUAGUGCAAUGGCAUAAGCCAGCUUGACUGCGAGCGUGACGGCGCGAGCAGGUGCGAAAGCAGGUCAUAGUGAUCCGGUGGUUCUGAAUGGAAGGGCCAUCGCUCAACGGAUAAAAGGUACUCCGGGGAUAACAGGCUGAUACCGCCCAAGAGUUCAUAUCGACGGCGGUGUUUGGCACCUCGAUGUCGGCUCAUCACAUCCUGGGGCUGAAGUAGGUCCCAAGGGUAUGGCUGUUCGCCAUUUAAAGUGGUACGCGAGCUGGGUUUAGAACGUCGUGAGACAGUUCGGUCCCUAUCUGCCGUGGGCGCUGGAGAACUGAGGGGGGCUGCUCCUAGUACGAGAGGACCGGAGUGGACGCAUCACUGGUGUUCGGGUUGUCAUGCCAAUGGCACUGCCCGGUAGCUAAAUGCGGAAGAGAUAAGUGCUGAAAGCAUCUAAGCACGAAACUUGCCCCGAGAUGAGUUCUCCCUGACUCCCUGAGAGUCCUGAAGGAACGUUGAAGACGACGACGUUGAUAGGCCGGGUGUGUAAGCGCAGCGAUGCGUUGAGCUAACCGGUACUAAUGAACCGUGAGG